AGGCUGUCUAAAGGAAUUUUGAGAGGAGAACACAUCAGAGGGGGUUGCUGUUCACCCAAGAGCUGACACAGGAGCAGCUGCUGCUUUCUUAUAAGUCAAGUUGAUUCCGGGAAUUGGCUUUCUCCCCCAAACAUCCUUUACGAUCCAGCUGGGAUGUUCCACUUUUGGAGCCUAAGCCAGGCAAGCUUUUGGAAGACUUGAUUGGGAGGACCACGGGGUGGUCCAGUGACCAAGCUAACAGUCCAGUGAGGUCUCCUCGCCUUGCAGAUAGGUAUCUGUGGAGAACGUUGAAGCCG
Molecule: long non-coding RNA, 296 nt
Filed under: Ursus americanus (American black bear)
Lineage: Eukaryota; Metazoa; Chordata; Mammalia; Carnivora; Ursidae
Description: lncRNA (ENSUAMG00000010088.1)
Source: RNAcentral